GCGUUGUCCGGAAUCAUUGGGCGUAAAGGGCGCGUAGGUGGCGGGACAAGCGUGCGGUGAAAGCUCGGGGCUCAACCCCGGGUCGGCCGUGCGAACUGUUUUGCUUGAGCACUGUAGAGGCAGGCGGAAUUCCGGGUGUAGCGGUGGAAUGCGUAGAGAUCCGGAAGAACACCGGUGGCGAAGGCGGCCUGCUGGGCAGUAGCUGACACUGAGGCGCGACAGCGUG
This 226-nucleotide ribosomal RNA is filed under the name uncultured bacterium. Its description in RNAcentral is "partial 16S ribosomal RNA". It matches the Rfam family "Bacterial small subunit ribosomal RNA", at positions 538 to 763 of the family's 1533-position model. The record is from RNAcentral.